RNAcentral lists this ribosomal RNA (497 nucleotides) under uncultured bacterium. RNAcentral's name for it is "partial 16S ribosomal RNA". It matches the Rfam family "Bacterial small subunit ribosomal RNA", at positions 28 to 507 of the family's 1533-position model. The record is from RNAcentral.
GAUGAACGCUGGCGGCGUGCCUAAUACAUGCAAGUCGAGCGAACGGACGAGAAGCUUGCUUCUCUGAUGUUAGCGGCGGACGGGUGAGUAACACGUGGAUAACCUACCUAUAAGACUGGGAUAACUUCGGGAAACCGGAGCUAAUACCGGAUAAAAUUUUGAACCGCAUGGUUCAAAAGUGAAAGACGGUCUUGCUGUUACUUAUAGAUGGAUCCGCGCUGCAUUAGCUAGUUGGUAAGGUAACGGCUUACCAAGGCAACGAUGCAUAGCCGACCUGAGAGGGUGAUCGGCCACACUGGAACUGAGACACGGUCCAGACUCCUACGGGAGGCAGCAGUAGGGAAUCUUCCGCAAUGGGCGAAAGCCUGACGGAGCAACGCCGCGUGAGUGAUGAAGGUCUUCGGAUCGUAAAACUCUGUUAUUAGGGAAGAACAUAUGUGUAAGUAACUGUGCACAUCUUGACGGUACCUAAUCAGAAAGCCACGGCUAACUACGUG